This 847-nucleotide ribosomal RNA is filed under the name Alternaria sp. Its description in RNAcentral is "partial large subunit ribosomal RNA". It matches the Rfam family "Eukaryotic large subunit ribosomal RNA", at positions 103 to 968 of the family's 3401-position model. The record is from RNAcentral. Lineage: Eukaryota; Fungi; Ascomycota; Dothideomycetes; Pleosporales; Pleosporaceae.
AACAGCUCAAUUUGAAAUCUGGCUCUUUUAGAGUCCGAGUUGUAAUUUGCAGAGGGCGCUUUGGCUUUGGCAGCGGUCCAAGUUCCUUGGAACAGGACGUCACAGAGGGUGAGAAUCCCGUACGUGGUCGCUGGCUAUUGCCGUGUAAAGCCCCUUCGACGAGUCGAGUUGUUUGGGAAUGCAGCUCUAAAUGGGAGGUACAUUUCUUCUAAAGCUAAAUAUUGGCCAGAGACCGAUAGCGCACAAGUAGAGUGAUCGAAAGAUGAAAAGCACUUUGGAAAGAGAGUCAAACAGCACGUGAAAUUGUUGAAAGGGAAGCGCUUGCAGCCAGACUUGCUUACAGUUGCUCAUCCGGGUUUCUACCCGGUGCACUCUUCUGUAGGCAGGCCAGCAUCAGUUUGGGCGGUAGGAUAAAGGUCUCUGUCACGUACCUCCUUUCGGGGAGGCCUUAUAGGGGAGACGACAUACUACCAGCCUGGACUGAGGUCCGCGCAUCUGCUAGGAUGCUGGCGUAAUGGCUGUAAGCGGCCCGUCUUGAAACACGGACCAAGGAGUCUAACAUCUAUGCGAGUGUUUGGGUGUCAAGCCCGAGCGCGUAAUGAAAGUGAACGGAGGUGGGAACCCGCAAGGGUGCACCAUCGACCGAUCCUGAUGUCUUCGGAAGGAUUUGAGUAAGAGCAUGGCUGUUGGGACCCGAAAGAUGGUGAACUAUGCUUGAAUAGGGUGAAGCCAGAGGAAACUCUGGUGGAGGCUCGCAGCGGUUCUGACGUGCAAAUCGAUCGUCAAAUUUGGGCAUAGGGGGCGAAAGACUAAUCGAACUAUCUAGUAGCUGGUUCCUGCCGAAGUU